AUGCUCCGGCUACUAGCGGCCAAAGACACGACGAAGAUCGCGUGGGAGAUAAUCAAGACACUCCGCAUGGGGAGCGAGCAUGCUUGCGAGGCCAAGGCGCGAGUGCGCCGCCGCGGGUUUGAGGCGCUCCGCUUCAACAACGGUGAGGCCCUUGAAGUCUUCACGCUGCAGCUCACCGGCCGCGUCGCCGAUCUGGAGCUGUACGACGACCCCGUGAUGGAGCACAAGGCCGUCCAGAAAUUCCUCCGUGUGGUGCCACGUAAGUACCCCCAGAUGGCCAUGGCGAUCGAGUCUCUCAUCGAUCUAAAAACCAUGUUCAUCGAGGAGCUCGCCGGGCGCUUCUCCCCAUGCGAGGACCACCACGACCUCGAAGACGCCACACAAUCCACCGGGCGCCUUCUGCUCACACACGAGGAAUGA
This 420-nucleotide ribosomal RNA is filed under the name Triticum aestivum (bread wheat). RNAcentral describes it as "partial small subunit ribosomal RNA". Lineage: Eukaryota; Viridiplantae; Streptophyta; Magnoliopsida; Poales; Poaceae. The record is from RNAcentral.